ACGAACGCUGUCGGCGUGCGUAUUACACGCACAUCUAGAGCAGUCAGAGAGAGCUUGCUUUCUCUGUGUUAGCGGCGGACGGGUGAGUAACACGUGGGCAACCUGCCUGUAAGACUGGGAUAACUUCGGGAAACCGGAGCUAAUACCGGAUAAUGCUUUUGAACUCAUGUUCGAAAGCUGAAAGAUGGUUUCGGCUAUCACUUACAGAUGGGCCCGCGGCGCAUUAGCUAGUUGGUGAGGUAACGGCUCACCAAGGCGACGAUGCGUAGCCGACCUGAGAGGGUGAUCGGCCACACUGGGACUGAGACACGGCCCAGACUCCUACGGGAGGCAGCAGUAGGGAAUCUUCCGCAAUGGACGAAAGUCUGACGGAGCAACGCCGCGUGAGUGAUGAAGGUUUUCGGAUCGUAAAACUCUGUUGUUAGGGAAGAACAAGUACCGGAGUAACUGCCGGUACCUUGACGGUACCUAACCAGAAAGCCACGGCUAACUACGUGCCAGCAGCCGCGGUAAUACGUAGGUGGCAAGCGUUGUCCGGAAUUAUUGGGCGUAAAGCGCGCGCAGGCGGUUCCUUAAGUCUGAUGUGAAAGCCCACGGCUCAACCGUGGAGGGUCAUUGGAAACUGGGGAACUUGAGUGCAGAAGAGAAGAGCGGAAUUCCACGUGUAGCGGUGAAAUGCGUAGAGAUGUGGAGGAACACCAGUGGCGAAGGCGGCUCUUUGGUCUGUAACUGACGCUGAGGCGCGAAAGCGUGGGGAGCAAACAGGAUUAGAUACCCUGGUAGUUCACUCUGUAAACGAUGAGUGCUAAGUGUUAGAGGGUUUCCGUUAUAUAUUGCUGCAGCAUACGCAGUAAGCACUCC
RNAcentral lists this ribosomal RNA (861 nucleotides) under Robertmurraya siralis. RNAcentral's name for it is "bacterial SSU rRNA". It matches the Rfam family "Bacterial small subunit ribosomal RNA", at positions 29 to 870 of the family's 1533-position model. Lineage: Bacteria; Bacillati; Bacillota; Bacilli; Caryophanales; Bacillaceae. The record is from RNAcentral.